RNAcentral lists this long non-coding RNA (3536 nucleotides) under Taeniopygia guttata (zebra finch). RNAcentral's name for it is "lncRNA (ENSTGUG00000025762.1)". The record is from RNAcentral. Lineage: Eukaryota; Metazoa; Chordata; Aves; Passeriformes; Estrildidae.
UGCUGUGGGGUUCUAUGGGGUGGGUUAUGGGGCGCUAUGGGGGUUAUGGGGCGCUAUGGGGGCGCUAUGGGCUGUGGGGUGCAAUGGGGGCUCUGGGGUCUCUUUGGGGUCUCGGGGGUCACUUUUGGGGACUUUUUUGGGCUUUUUGGGCGUCACUUUGGGGUUUUUGGGGUCACUUUUGGGGAGUUUUUGGGCUUUUGGGGGGUCUCGGGCCUCUGGGGCUUUUUGGAGAUUUUUUUGGGGCUUUUGGGUCUGGGGGCUUUGGGGGUCCCUUUUGGGGCCUCUUUGGGGCUUUUGGGGUCACUUUUGGGGAGUUUUUGGGCUUUUUGGGGUCACUUUGAAGUUUUUGGGGUCUGGGGGCUUUUUGGGCGUCACUUUGGGGCUUUUGGGGUCUCUUUUGGGGACUUUUUGGGGUUUUGGGGAGUCUCGGGCCUGUGGGUUUUUUUGGGGAUUUUUUUGGGGAUUUUUUUGGGUUUUUUUGGGGUUUUUUUAACUUUUGGGGGUCCCUUUUUGAGGGUCCCCCCACUGACUGACCCCUCUCCCCUCCCCCACAGCGCUGUGUGCCCCUCCCCCCAUGGGGGCCGCCCCCACCCCCACCCCUGCCCCUCCCCCACCCCGGCGCUGCGGCCCCACCGCCCCUCCCCCACCGCCCUCCCCUCCCCCACCCCCGGAGCUGCCACCGGACUGCGACGAGAGGGCAUCGGGGACACCUCUGGGGACAUCGGGGACAUCUCUGGGGACAUCGGGGACACCCUUGGGGACACCGGGGACAUCGUUGGGGACAUCUCUGGGGACAUCAGGGACAUCGGGGACACCUCUGGGGACAUCCCUGGGGGCGGCCCCAGGGACCCCCAACUGCUCCAGGGACGUCCCGGUGGCGGACGCGGCGCUGGUGGCCCCCGGUGGGGACAUCGCGGUGGAGGGGACAGAAGAUCCGAGUGCCACCGGUGACCCCAGGGAUGCUCUGGGACGUGUCACUGAAGCCUAUGGAGAUGCCACCACCAUGGUGGCCGCUGUCGCCACGUCCCCAGGAGGGGACCGAGCUCUGGUGGGCACCACUGGGGAUGUCACCAUGGAGGGGACGGCCCAGCCCAGUGCCACCAACUGCUCCUGGGACACUUUGGGACGCGUCCCUGAGGUCCCUGGAGAUGCCACCAUCACGUCGGCCUCUGUCCCAGUGUCCUCAGGAGGUGACAAAGUGCUGGAAGUCACAAGUGGGGACGUGGCAAUAGAGGAGACAGCCCAGCCCGAUGUCACCGGUGACCCCAGGGACACUCUGGGAUUCAUCACUGAAGCCUAUGGAGAUGCCACCACCAUGGUGGCCACUGUCACCACAUCCCCAGGAAGUGACAAAAUCCUGGUGGCCACCCAGGGUGACAUCGAGGUGGAGGGGACAGAAGAUCCAGGUGCCACCGGUGACCCCAGGGACAGUUCGGGACACGUCACUGAAGCCUACGGAGAUGCCACCACCACGAUGGCCUCUGUCCCAGUGUCCUCAGGAGGUGACAAAGUCCUGGUGGCCACCAGUGGGGACGUGGCCAUGGGGGGGACAGAAGAUCCGAGUGUCACCGAUGACCCCAGGGACGCUCUGGGACGCGUCAGCGAAGCCUACGCAGAUGCCACCACGAUGGUGGCCACUGUCACCACAUCCCCAGGAGGUGACAAAGUCCUGGUGGCCACCAGUGGGGACGUGACCAUGGAGGUGACGGCCACACCUGAAGCCACUGGUGACCCCAGGGACACUUUGGGACAUCUCAGUGAUGUCACUGGAGAUGCCACCACCACGGCGGCCUCUGUCCCAGUGUCCCCAGGAGGUGACAAAGCCCUGGUGGCCACCAGCGCUGACGUGGCCAUGGAGGGGACAGAAGAUCCGAGUGCCACCGGUGACCCCAGGGGUGCUCUGAGAUGCGUCACCGAAGCCUACGGAGAUGCCACCACCACGAUGGCCACUGUCACCACAUCCCCAGGAAGUGACAAGAUGCUGGUGGCCCCUGGAGAGGAUGUGGCCAUGGAGGGGACGGCCCAGCCCGGUGCCACCAACUGCUCCUGGGACACUUUGGGACGUGUCCCUGAGGUCCCCGGAGAUGCCACCACCACGGUGGCCUCUGUCCCAGUGUCCCCAGGAGGUGACAAAGCCCUGCUGGCCACCAGUGGGGACAUCGCUGUGGAGGGGACAGAAGAUCCAAGUGCCACUGGUGACCCCAGGGACACUUUGGGAUUCAUCACUGAAGCCUACGGAGAUGCCACCACCGUGGUUGCACCUGUCUCCACAUCCCCAGGAAGUGACAAAGUCCUGGUGGCCACCAGUGGGGACGUGGCCAUGGAGGGGACAGCCCAGACCAACAUCACCAGUGACCCCAGGGACACUUUGGGACACGUCACCGAAGCCUACGGAGAUGCCACCACCACGAUGGCCUCUGUCCCAGUGUCCCCAGGAAGUGACAAGAUGCUGGUGGCCCCUGGAGAGGAUGUGGCCAUGGAGGGGACAGCCCAGCCCGGAGCCACCAACUGCUCCUGGGACACUUUGGGACGCGUCCCUGAAGUCCCUGGAGAUGCCACCACCACGGUGGCCUCUGUCCCAGUGUCCCCAGGAUGUGACAAAGCCCUGGAGGCCACCAGUGGGGACGUGGCCAUGGAGGUGACAGAAGAUCCGAGUGUCACCAGUGGCCUUGGGGACACUUUGGGACAUGUCACUGAAGCCUACGGAGAUGCCACCAUCACAAUGGCUCCUUUGACUACGUCCUCAGGAGGUGACAAAGUCCUCGUGGCCACCAGUGGGGACAUCGCGGUGGAGGGGACAGAAGAUCCAGGUGCCACCGGUGACCCCAGGGACAGUUCAGGACACGUCACCGAAGCCUAUGGAGAUGCCACCACCACGAUGGCCUCUGUCCCAGUGUCCUCAGGAGGUGACAAAUUCCUGGUGGCCACCACUGGGGACGUCACCAUGGAGGGGACAGCCCAGCCCGAAGCCACCGGUGACCCCAGGGACACUUUGGGACGCGUCAGCGAAGCCUACGGAGAUGCCACCACCAUGGUGGCCACUGUCACCGUGUCCCCAGGAGGUGACAAAGCCCCGGUGGCCACCAGCGCUGACGUCGCCAUGGAGGUGACGGCCCCGCCCGGUGCCACCAACACCUCCGGGGACCCUCUGGGACGCGCCCCCGACGUCCCCCCCGGUGCCACCACCCCCGUCCCCAACGCCAUCAUGGUGGCCCCGGGCGGUGACGUCGCGGUGGGCGGCCCCGCCCCUCCCCCACCCUGCCACGCCCACUCCUUCCCCGUCACCGCCGCCGCCCCUCCCCCCCCCGGCCCCCCCGGCCUCUCGGGCUCCGCCCCUUCCUCCUCGCCCCUCCCCCUCCUCCUCCUCCUCCUGCUGCCCCUCCCCCUCCUCCUGCCCUGACCGCCCCUCCCCCCCUUAUUUAUUGCCCCUCCCCCCCACCAGAAUAAAGCUCGAAGCUGAUUGGUCAGUUCCGUGUGGUGUCCGCCUGUGGGGGGAGGGGCUCUCCGGGACCCUCCCCCACCCCCUCCCCCACCCC